RNAcentral lists this long non-coding RNA (5152 nucleotides) under Xyrichtys novacula (pearly razorfish). The record is from RNAcentral. Lineage: Eukaryota; Metazoa; Chordata; Actinopteri; Labriformes; Labridae.
ACGUACACGAGGAAAGGUGCUAGCAUUCAUGAUUAGCAUGUGCAGCCGCCAUCGUGUGCUGAGCUCAUUGUUGUUGAUGCUGCAUUAAUGAGGCCGGUUUAUAUCAGACGGUCUGUUCACGACACACAAUCAUGAACACGCAUUAAACAGAGCCUGGGUGUGACACAUGACAGCACGCACCCCACACUCGCCCUGUUUUUAGACUGCUCAUGAGUCAGCACCUGCCUUCACAGGUGCAAAAUUUCAUUGGUGCCAUUUUUUGUAUCAUAAAUUAGUUUAUAUUGAAUAAAGUCAAAGUGUAAAAUAAUUGAGGGGGUUUUAAACACACCUGAUGGUGAUUUUAAAUCGUCGAUGUCAGGUCCAGUCUGUGUCAAAGCUCUGAAGAAAAUAAACUCUGAAAGUAGAGUAAUGAAAAGUUUGUUAUAGUCACAGAAAACUGCAGCUUUGACUCAGAAAUAGAAACCGUCAUAGAGAGAGAGAGAGAGAGAGGGAGGGAGAGAAAUGAGAGUACAACACUGUGGCCUGGUUUGUGGUUCCAGAGGGAUAGAGACACUUUCCUGUUCCCUGCAAAAUGAGAUAGGAUGAGCUCUUUUAACACAGACACAAAUGCAUACACACUAACACACUCAAACACACACACACACACACACCUUGUUCAUUCCUUCUAACUGUGCCUGGUCUACAUUUGUGCAGCUUUGUUGUCGCGGCAGCAGGAAACUGAUUGCCCCAGAUUUAAGCGAGCCUCCUUCACAUAUGCAGCAGUUAGCUGUCAACUCUCAAAACGACUCCGAUCAUCAAUUUUUUCUUUUUUUGUUUGGUUUUCUGUGUCACUUUUCAUCGCAAGUGUGAGUGUGUGUGUUUGUAACAGACAGUCUGACCUCUGACCCCGACCCGCUGGGAGGCUUUCAUUCCCAUAGGCUGGGGGCUGUGGUUGUCUCGCUCUCUCUCUCCCUCUCACACACACACACACUGCCGGCUCUAUUGGUUAAGCGGUCCCUCGGCCACCCAUUCAGGGCUCAGUCACGGCCACUUAGAGCGCAGCAGACACAGGGAUUCAGAUGAGCUGUGAUCCAAUGACAUGUAUUUAUAAUGAGGGGGCUGUGGGGACGUCUUUGUUUGAUGGACACAAUGUCUGCACAAGAGUGUGUUUGAGUGUGUUAUAAGUUUGUGUGUUUGGUGGAGAGGGGGAAUUUCUGUGUCUUUUUACACUUUCUCUACUCAUUCAACUCUCACACACACAUUCAGACUUUUUCUUUCUUGCCUUCAAAAUUUGCAGAAAAGACUGACUUUAUUAUUUAGCCUGAAAAAAAUCAAUCAAGAACUUGCUGGGACAGCUUCUAGUGAAAAUUAAGUCUCUUGUUAAAGAAAGUGAGUGAAAUAAGAGUGAAGUUUACAAUCACUUUUGCUGCCCCAAUGGCAGAUAUUUUCACACAUUACAAGCGUCUCAGGUCUUUUUAUUUUUAGUUUCCAACGUCUUGAAAAAAGACUUUUAUCUGGUGGCCUAUAUUAGUGCUCUUGAAAUAUUUGAGAAACACACUUGGCUUAGUGUGAGGCUGUGGAGUAUGAUCUAUUGAUGAUCACAUUUUUCUCUUGUUUUAUGAAGGGCCUGUGUCCACUAACGGUAUCUUUUGCAUAGGCAGCACCUAUUUUCUGAUAAAUAAACAAACAAAUAAUAGAGCUCAGUAUUUAAGUACAGAACAUCCUUGGUUCCCUGUCAGCUGUUUUUCUGUUGCUGCACUUAGAGUUGAAAUAGUCCAACUUUUUAGUACUAACAUACUCUUCAGAGUAAAUCUUUCAUUGAUCAAAAUAGUCAAGAAGAGGCGGGACUUCUGAUAUCAACUUACUCAAUAACAAUAGCCACAAAGCAGAGGCAGAAGUACUGAACAUCGUUUGUUAUCCAACAGCAGUGAGUAAGACGUGAGUGAGAAAGUGGGGUCUUGUGGGUGCUGCCAGUGCAGAGACUGCUGUCGGUGGACAUAGGCCCUAAAAAAAGCUUUGACUAGACUGUUCUGAUGUUCAGUUCAGGCCAGGAUUUAUAAGAUUUGCAGCAAUAGUUAUCUUAUAAAUUAAAUUUUUGAUACCAAUAUAUUUUGAGGAAAUCAAAAUUAAAAAGUUUACACCAUCAGCUAUAUAAUCACUUUUUUAAAACAGUUUAUGGUGACAGAAACAGUAAUGAAGUAUUUCGUGAAUAAAAAGUGUAGAUGAUUUUUGAACUAUGAUUAUUUUGAAGCUCACACCAGUCUGAGUCUUGUUAGCCAGCCAAAUCAAGGACAGUAAUAACUUUUUUGAUAAGGAGGAAACUGUCAUUAUUUUUUUGUCUUUUACAAACUAAGUAAUUUUAGAAAUGUGUGGCAGUAUCAUUAAAACAGUGAAAACACAAAUCAUUGUGAGUCCACCCAAUACAAGUACGUCUAUGUGUGCUGAGGGAGUGUGGUGUGUAGUCAGAGCUGCAGUCUGAUCUCUGCCUACAUUAGUCAGUGGUUGGGACAGCGUGGGCAGAAGAAGAGCCCUGGAGGGUCCUACAAGCUGAGGAAGGCCCCUCAUAAUGACCAGUGUCUGAAACACUGCCGCUACCCAGGGACCAGUGUCUGAUUCUGAUGUACUCAAUCACAACCAUAAUCACAACCCCAGCCUCCUCACAGCCCACACUCAACUCCAUUUUUGCUGCCUAUCAGUCUGAACUGUUGGAGUAUAAUCAGAAAUUUACAAAGUGUCAUUCCACCUUUUCCAGCCUGACGUAGAUUGGGACUUUACCAAAGGUCUUACACAUUAUUUAAAAGUGCAUCUGCUGUUGUUGUUUUUUUUUAUAUUAUCUAUGAUGAUUAAAAGUCUCGACAAAUGAGGAUGAAGUCCCUUAUCUUGGCUGGUUGACUUCUUAUCUUGUUCAGUCAUGACGGUGCAAAACCAGACAGUGGAAGUGUGUCGGCUGUCUGUGUGUGUCUGCUCUCUCGGGUGUAAUCAUGGGUUCCCCGGCUGACUGCGUGUCCCAUAGUGAUCUCAGACUUCAGAGGUCAGAGGUCAUUUAGUGUGGGCUCCGAUAUAGACAUUAUGUAGUCAUGACGAGGGACUACCACUUGAACCAACACUGUCCCAUUUUUUUCUGUGUUAUGUUGAAACUGCUGCGUCAGCCUGUGGUGUGACAGAUGGACAGAAUUGUUCACUGUUAGAGCUCAGGUGUACAUUUAUCAGACGUCUGUGGUUCUUAAUUUAAAAAUACAGAAAGAUUUUUGUUGUGCAUUUUCUUAGCUGCACUCGCUAAUUUCCUCCAUUGUCUUGUCUCUCUGCAGGUUCAACAAUGUGAGGAAAAUUCCUGGUGUAAAAAACAUCGAACUCAAACUUGACCGGACUGGAUUACAUGUUUUAUUCUGGAAAAUGAAGGACUCUUACAUACACGAAUAUAUUUUUGUUAAAAAAAGGGAAUACUUUGCUUUGAGCUCCUGUAAACCCGUGAAGAUGAACCUCUAAAUCUGGACUGAAUCAAAGAAGAAGACAAGGAGAAUUUUGUCAUGUAACAACAUUUUUUACACCAGCUGUACCUUCUUUUUCUGACAGUGAAAAUAUUUGUGUGUGAAUAAUCAAUAAAUGGGAAUGGAAGAUAAGCAACAUUAAAUGUUUUAUUUUUCAACUGUAUCAAUAAUUAUCAAUGGUGAAUAGUAAGAGUCAGUUUACUCGAGUACUGUAACACAUUUUUUGAGUAUUUGUAUUUCUGUAUCUGGCUGAUAUUUGAGUCCUCUACAUUUUCUACGAUUCUUCUCAUUUCUUGCUAUUUUUGCCCUGAAGUCAGCUAAUAAACUUCCUUUUCUUUUCUGAAAUCCAAAUGUUAAGACGUGCUUGUUGAGUUCUUGUUGUUGCUGUAUCUUUCAAUCGUACAUCUGUAUUGUUAAAGAGACAAACGCAAACACAGAUCAGAUCAGGCAGUUCAUUUUAAUGUGGUGUUGAUUGCUACAGCAGUAAUUGUUUGCUCUGUUUACCUCUUAAGAACUUCAUUAUGAUUGACAAACAUUAGCUUUUUCAAUGCUUUCUUAAUCCAUGUCAUAAAAAACGGCCUGGUGAGCAUUUAAAGUUGUAUUUUAACAAAAUAAGCUGUGGGUUUAAAAAUUGUGUUAGUCUGUAUUAGUAAAAAAUGUAAACAUAGCAUGGGAAUUAAUACAGACCAUCACAUACUUGAGCAUGGGUACCAUUUUCAUUCUGUAAAACAUCGGAAUACGUACUUAUGAAAUCACAGACUUUUUCCAUUAUAGCACUUGGAGGACUUAAAUCAAAUAUAUUCGAGGUGAUGAUUACACAUUGAUCUUCUGAUCAGGAUAAUAGCAUCAUAUAAUAGGUUGUCACAGAGUUUUGAAAAGAAGGUUUUGUUUGACAUAUUUCAGGUGCUAACACCCCUGUAAAGAAGUAAAAAAAAAACAAGUGUGUCUCAGCAGCUACACAGUUAUCAAGUUCAAAAGGCCUUGAAGCUGCUGAAAUGGCUGUUUGAUAAAACUUCACCCAGUAAAGCCUGGCUGACUGUUACACUGGUGAUCAGGCGUUUUUUUUUCCCGCCAUUUCUCCAUGUAAUUUUGGACUUGAGUAUAUGAGUUAAAAAUGUAAAAGAUGUUUUUUAAAUCAAGAAAACAUUACAGAAUAUGCACCCAUAUAUUCUUGAUUGUACUCAUGCAUGAUGAAAAUAAAAUGUUUUGGGAUUUUUUUAUCAAGUACAUUAAAUACUGAAGUAUCUUUAAAAGACUCCAGUAACAAAUGACUGAGCAUCUUUCACUUUUGUUGGAGAGAUAUUUGACGAGGUUUAUCUAUUAUUUGACUCACAUGAUGAAGUGGUGAACAUUGUCCACCAAUGAAAAUGUAAUUGGAUAUAUAAUAAUUUGUUACCUUUUCUCUCAGGUACUUACAAUCAAGCUAAAGUGGUUUUUUCACCAAGAGUUUAAAAUCAUGACGAAAUUCAUCACCUCUUCUUUUAAAGUUUGAGUUUUCACUAAUGCUCCUCUUGUCAAGAAUGAGUGCACUGAAAAGUCUUUGACACACAACCAGUAACUAACGGAUAGAUCAGCAUUGCUUUGGUUUAUUUAUAUAAAUUUGUAUGUUUUCUUAUUCACAUGGUGAAAAGUCUGUGUUUUUUUUACAAUUAUUUAUACGGUCAAUAAAAAGAGGACUGACAGAC